This 424-nucleotide ribosomal RNA is filed under the name Funneliformis mosseae. Its description in RNAcentral is "eukaryotic LSU rRNA". It matches the Rfam family "Eukaryotic large subunit ribosomal RNA", at positions 348 to 637 of the family's 3401-position model. The record is from RNAcentral. Lineage: Eukaryota; Fungi; Glomeromycota; Glomeromycetes; Glomerales; Glomeraceae.
GUACCGUGAGGGAAAGAUGAAAAGAACUUUGAAAAGAGAGUUAAACAGUACGUGAAAUUGUUGAAAGGGAAACGAUUGAAGUCAGUCAUACCAACGGGAAAUCAACCUUUUGAGCUUGGUCUCGUGGGUUUUGAAGAGUUUCAAAGCCUUCGGAUUCGCGAGAUUGGGAUCUCUCGGUGUACUUUUUCGUACGGUUAGUCAACAUCGGUUUUGAAUGUCAUAAAAUGACUGGAGGAAUGUAGCUUCGAUCUCGUAUUGAAGUGUUAUAGCCUUUGGUAGAUGUGAUGUUUGAGACCGAGGAUUGCAACGGAUACCCUUCAGGGCUAUUCGUCUGAUCUCUGAUACGUUGCCUUGAUGUUGAAAGCUUGCUUAUGAUGUUAGGGUAUUACGGUCAAAAGGUUAGAACGAAUUACAUUCGUUAAGG